RNAcentral lists this ribosomal RNA (406 nucleotides) under uncultured bacterium. Its description in RNAcentral is "partial 16S ribosomal RNA". It matches the Rfam family "Bacterial small subunit ribosomal RNA", at positions 30 to 526 of the family's 1533-position model. The record is from RNAcentral.
AUUGAACGCUGGCGGCAGGCCUAACACAUGCAAGUCGAACGAGUGGCGGACGGGUGAGUAAUGUCUGGGAAACUGCCCGAUGGAGGGGGAUAACUACUGGAAACGGUCGCUAAUACCGCAUACCAUCGGAUGUGCCCAGAUGGGAUUAGCUAGUAGGUGGGGUGAAGGCUCAACUAGGCGACGAUCCCUAGCUGGUCUGGGAGGAUGACCAGCCACACUUGAACUGAGACACGGUCCAGACUCCUACGGGAGGCAGCAGUGAGGAAUAUGGCACAAUGGGCGAAUGCCUGAUGCAGCCAUGCCGCGUGUAGGAAGAAGGCCUUCGGGUUGUAAAGUACUUUCAGCGAGGAGGCUUUACUCGCAGAAGACCCACCGGCUCACUACGUGCCAGCAGCCGCGGUAAUAC